CCUACGUGCGUCAGCAGUGAGGAAUAUUGGUCAAUGGACGAGAGUCUGAACCAGCCAAGUAGCGUGAAGGAUGACUGCCCUAUGGGUUGUCAACUUCUUUUAUAAAGGAAUACAACGAGGCACGUGUGCCUUUUUUCAUGUACUUUAUGAAUAAGGAUCGGCUAACUCCGUGCCAUCAGCCGCGUUAAUACGGAGGAUCCGAGCGUUAUCCGGAUUUAUUGGGUUUAAAGGGAGCGUAGAUGGGUUGUUAAGUCAGUUGUGAAAGUUUGCGGCUCAACCGUAAAAUUGCAAUUGAUACUGGCAGUCUUGAGUACAGUUGAGGUAGGCGGAAUUCGUGGUGUAGCGGUGAAAUGCUUAGAGAUCACGAAGAACCCCGAUUGCGAAUGCAGCUUACUAACCUGUGACUGACAUUGAUGCUCGAAAGUGUGGGUAUCAAACAGGAUUAGAUACCCUAGUAGUC
This 460-nucleotide ribosomal RNA is filed under the name uncultured bacterium. Its description in RNAcentral is "partial 16S ribosomal RNA". It matches the Rfam family "Bacterial small subunit ribosomal RNA", at positions 338 to 795 of the family's 1533-position model. The record is from RNAcentral.